This 253-nucleotide ribosomal RNA is filed under the name uncultured bacterium. RNAcentral's name for it is "partial 16S ribosomal RNA". It matches the Rfam family "Bacterial small subunit ribosomal RNA", at positions 524 to 776 of the family's 1533-position model. The record is from RNAcentral.
UACGUAGGUGGCAAGUGUUGUCCGGAAUUAUUGGGCGUAAAGCGCGCGCAGGCGGUCCUUUAAGUCUGAUGUGAAAGCCCACGGCUCAACCGUGGAGGGUCAUUGGAAACUGGGGGACUUGAGUACAGAAGAGAAGAGUGGAAUUCCACGUGUAGCGGUGAAAUGCGUAGAGAUGUGGAGGAACACCAGUGGCGAAGGCGACUCUUUGGUCUGUAACUGACGCUGAGGCGCGAAAGCGUGGGGAGCAAACAGG